CAACAUCGCUGUCCUAUUCCGCUGCCGGGGAAGUGUAGCCAGAUGCAAGCGUCUGACUCAGCAAAAAGCAGAUGGGGAGACGUGUAGUGAUUUGCCCGUGAUUUCUAGCCUGCUGCUUAAGCCAGUGGAUCAUGCCACUUCCCCAAAAGAAGCUCUCCAGACACCAUUACGAGGGAGAAAUCUUGUGAGCCUUAAGACAGAGGCUAUGCAGAAUGGCCCAGGCUAGAUCAGGAGCGCGGUGCCUCGGGCCUGCCUUACGUGAGGCUCCAGAUUCAGAACAAAGGUUAGGGUUUGGCCCGUUAUUCUCGCCCUCCCCAACACCAGCAUCCAGGAGAACCGCCCGGGGGUGCCAAGAGGUCCCUGCCCUCCGAGCCAGCCGCCUUUCAGCACCUAGCAAGAGGAAGCCCCUGGCAGCAUGUAGGAGACGUGGAGGCUGCAGCAAAACACGCGUCUCUGAAAGCUAAACCUGUUAUUAUCAGCUACGGAGAACUGCCUGUUAUUAUUAUUACUCCGCCGUACGCCUGUCAGCAUCGCGCUGUCGCGGCUCCUUCCUGCUCCCAGGCAGCGGUGCUGCUAAGGGGAACCCGUUUGCUGACAGCAAGCCGGUAACCCUCUUGCUGCUGGACAAAACCGCACCUGGGGUCCCAGGAGAAAGGGCCUGAUCCACUGCUGGCCCUCACCUUAUGCAGGGGUCAUUGACACCUGUUCAACGGGCGUUGCAGGAACUCGGCUCCUACCGGUCUGCGAGUGCCCGGGCUGGUGCGGCUGUGUUUUCUACCCAGUUCGCGCUGGUCUGGCCUAGUGUGCACAAGGAUGGGGAAUCAGGGUGACGGAGCCGUUCCCAUCCUCUGCCCCUGUAUGUCACUCCAGCAGCAUACAGAGGCAAGAA
Molecule: long non-coding RNA, 889 nt
Organism: Dermochelys coriacea (leatherback sea turtle)
Lineage: Eukaryota; Metazoa; Chordata; Testudines; Dermochelyidae
Exons: 2
Source: RefSeq, a predicted model, not a curated record